UACAGAGGUGGCAAGCGUUGUUCGGAAUUACUGGGCGUAAAGGGCGCGUAGGCGGCCAUCUAAGUCAGACGUGAAAUCCCCCGGCUUAACCUGGGAACUGCGUCUGGUACUGGAAGGCUUGAGUAUGGGAGAGGGAUGCGGAAUUCCAGGUGUAGCGGUGAAAUGCGUAGAUAUCUGGAGGAACACCGGUGGCGAAGGCGGCAUCCUGGACCAACACUGACGCUGAGGAGCGAAAGCCAGGGGAGCAAACAGG
Molecule: ribosomal RNA, 253 nt
Filed under: uncultured bacterium
Lineage: Bacteria
Description: partial 16S ribosomal RNA
Rfam family: Bacterial small subunit ribosomal RNA
Source: RNAcentral